UACGUAGGUGGCAAGCGUUGUCCGGAAUUAUUGGGCGUAAAGGGCGUGUAGGUGGGAUCUUAAGUCAUGUGUCUAAGUGCGGUGCUCAACGCCGUAUAGGCGCAAGAAACUGAGAUUCUUGAGUGCAGGAGAGGAAAGUGGAAUUCCCAGUGUAGCGGUGAAAUGCGUAGAUAUUGGGAGGAACACCAGUGGCGAAGGCGACUUUCUGGACUGUGUCUGACACUGAGGCGCGAAAGCUAGGGGAGCGAACGGGAUUAGAUACCCCGGUAGUCCUAGCCGUAAACGAUGGGUACUAGGUGUAGAGGGUAUCGACCCCUUCUGUGCCGGAGUUAACGCAAUAAGUACCCCGCCUGGGGAGUACGGCCGCAAGGUUGAA
RNAcentral lists this ribosomal RNA (376 nucleotides) under uncultured bacterium. RNAcentral's name for it is "bacterial SSU rRNA". It matches the Rfam family "Bacterial small subunit ribosomal RNA", at positions 524 to 898 of the family's 1533-position model. The record is from RNAcentral.